This 253-nucleotide ribosomal RNA is filed under the name uncultured bacterium. RNAcentral describes it as "partial 16S ribosomal RNA". It matches the Rfam family "Bacterial small subunit ribosomal RNA", at positions 524 to 776 of the family's 1533-position model. The record is from RNAcentral.
UACAUGGGGUGCAAACGUUGCUCGGAAUUAUUGGGCUUAAAGCGCGCGUAGGCGGUUACUCAAGUCGGAUGUGAAAGCCCUCGGCUUAACUGAGGAAGUGCACCCGAAACUGAGUAGCUAGAGUACUAAAGAGGGUCGCGGAAUUCCCGGUGUAGAGGUGAAAUUCGUAGAUAUCGGGAGGAACACCGGUGGCGAAGGCGGCGACCUGGGUAGAUACUGACGCUGAGGCGCGAAAGCGUGGGGAGCAAACAGG